RNAcentral lists this ribosomal RNA (1245 nucleotides) under Russula sp. MCA3912. RNAcentral's name for it is "eukaryotic LSU rRNA". The stretch from base 619 to 1245 matches the Rfam family "Eukaryotic large subunit ribosomal RNA", at positions 1 to 635 of the family's 3401-position model. The record is from RNAcentral. Lineage: Eukaryota; Fungi; Basidiomycota; Agaricomycetes; Russulales; Russulaceae.
CAUUAUUGUAUAACUGAGGGUGCUUAAGGCUGUUGCUAACCUUGAAAAGAAGGUUGUGCACGUCCAAGUGCUCUCUUUACAUUCAUUUCACCUCUCUGUGCAUCACCGCGUUGGCCCCCCCCCCCCCCUUUUUCUGAAGGGAAGGAGAAAGGCUUGCGUUUUUAUACAUACACCAUAUUUAAUGCAUGUAUAGAAAGUCUUACUUUGUUGCGAUCACACGCAGCCAAUAAUACAACUUUCAACAACGGAUCUCUUGGCUCUCGCAUCGAUGAAGAACGCAGCGAAAUGCGAUAUGUAAUGUGAAUUGCAGAAUUCAGUGAAUCAUCGAAUCUUUGAACGCACCUUGCNCCCUUUGGUAUUCCGAGGGGCACACCCAUUUGAGUGUCAUGAACACCCUCAACCCUUUUUUGGUUUCUUGACCAGGAAGGAUUGGACUUUGGAGGUUUUUACCUUGCUGGUCUUCUUUGAAGCCAGCUCCUCCUAAAUGCAUUAGUGGGAUCCACUUUGCUGAUCCUUGACGUGAUAAGUAUGCUUCUACGUCUUGUGUUCUGCAACUGUUGCCUUGGGACCUGCUUCCAACUGUCUCUUAAAUGAAGACAAUGUUUGACACAGAAACCUUGACCUCAAAUUGGGUGAGACUACCCGCUGAACUUAAGCAUAUCAAUAAGCGGAGGAAAAGAAACUAACAAGGAUUCCCCUAGUAACUGCGAGUGAAGCGGGAAAAGCUCAAAUUUAAAAUCUGGUGGCCUUUGACCAUCCGAGUUGUAAUUUAGAGAAGCGUGUUCUGCGCUGGACCGUGCACAAGUCUCCUGGAAUGGAGCGUCAUAGAGGGUGAGAAUCCCGUCUUUGGCACGGAACCCCAGGGUUUCUGUGAUGCGCUCUCGACGAGUCGAGUUGUUUGGGAAUGCAGCUCAAAAUGGGUGGUGAACUCCAUCUAAAGCUAAAUAUUGGCGAGAGACCGAUAGCGAACAAGUACCGUGAGGGAAAGAUGAAAAGCACUUUGGAAAGAGAGUGAAACAGUACGUGAAAUUGUUGAAAGGGAAACGCUUGAAGUCAGUCGCGUUGACUGAGACUCAGCCUUGCCUUGGCUUGGUGUAUUUCUCAGCUUAACGGGUCAGCAUCAAUUUUGAUCCUUGGAUAAUGGCAAAGGAAAGGUAGCACCUUUUUAGGUGUGUUAUAGUUCUUUGUCGCAUAUAAGGGUUGGGAUUGAGGAACUCAGCAUGCACCUUUUGGUGUCGGGGCCCU